AAGUCGUAACAAGGUUUCCGUAGGUGAACCUGCGGAAGGAUCAUUAUCUUUGGGUGGGAGCCCGGCGAGAUAGGACCCUUGCAUUUUCGAGUACCGCCCGUUUCCUCGGCAGGCCCGCCUGCCAAUGGGGACAGCAAACGCCCUGAAGCACCCGUAACCAGUCUGAUAACAAACACAAAAGUCAAAACUUUCAACAACGGAUCUCUUGGUUCUG
This 214-nucleotide unclassified non-coding RNA is filed under the name Pleosporormiella polymorpha. RNAcentral's name for it is "Preussia polymorpha partial internal transcribed spacer region". The stretch from base 1 to 46 matches the Rfam family "Eukaryotic small subunit ribosomal RNA", at positions 1786 to 1831 of the family's 1831-position model. RNAcentral also lists the same sequence under 3 other names. Lineage: Eukaryota; Fungi; Ascomycota; Dothideomycetes; Pleosporales; Sporormiaceae. The record is from RNAcentral.